ACGGAAGGACUGGUGAGGUCGAGCCUGUGCCUGGUCGCGUCAAGCGCCGGAUUGGGUGCGGCAACUCGGUAUUGGCGGACAGGAGGGAGAGAGGGGCACUGCAGGCGAGGGUGCUGCAGGCGAGGUGACAGGGCGAGCGAUGCGACGCGAGCAUGCGCGUACUAGCGGCUCUGCCGCGGCACACGACUGGCGAGGCGGGGGAAAAAGAGUUGUCACUGCCUGCGCGGUGGUUGGCGAAGGCGGUAUCGUCACGGGGCGCGCGCGUGGGCAGCGCGACUGAGGUAUGACGGAAAAGCCGGAAGGAGUUGGGGCGCGGGCGGGGAUCCUGGUGAGGAGAUGCACACGGGAGGCGAGGCAGACUAGCGCGGCCAAAUCUUCGGUCGCAGCAGCGGCAGCUUCGGCGCGCGAUUGGGAAGGAGGCGCGCUGAUCCAUCGUGUUGCGGCCAGCGACUGGGCGAGACGAUGAGGUCACACCACGUGGCGGCGGCACUCUGAAAUAGGGCGCACGCAAGCUCUGGCGCGCUUGGCUCGAGAGAUCCACGGGAUCCUUUUUCUGGAUCCAUUUUCCAGCCUCUUGAUCUCCCAAGUUCCAAUCUUCACCACUUUGACUCCCUUAACAAGAGUUGUAGAACACCAGCUAAGGUCCAACUUUUGUAAUUGGAUCGAGCUCAAAGACGCAGUGGAUUCGUAGAUCCAAAGCUCCAAAGUUGGAAGGAACACUGGUUUCGGGACUUAAAGAAAACGACGGUUUGCUGGGUUUCAGGGGUCGGGGCUGAUUUGAACUGCAGAUUUGGGAAGUUUCAGAGAUGGAUUGGAGCAAGGUCCAAUUAACAAAGCUAAAGCAGGGACUUCGUUCUCCAACUUCUAACAAGAGUUUUCUUGGUGUCCUGCUCAACUUUCCAAAGAUAAACCCUCCCUAAGGCGCUAGGUUGGGUUGAAAACCAGACUUAGCCGGUAUAGCUCAAGAAAAGCUGAGUCAACCAGAUUAGGGAACUUGUUUUAAGAUUAAACUCGGCUUAUUUAAUCCAGAUCAUUACACCAUCCCGCGUGGGGGUCGGGCUCCGCGUCGCCGGUGACCGCAGGCGCCGCAUCUCACCGUCCAGCGCCUCCCGCACGGCCUCCGAUGCCUUCAGUUGCUCGCCCUCCGCCGACCCUGCCUCCUCCGCCCGGCCCUGUCGGCGUGCCAUGCUGCCUCCGCAAGCCCCGCCUCCUUGCGCCAGAUCCGCCUCGCCUGCUCUGGAGGUCGAAUGUGAUGGUGGCCGGUAGCCGCCCGAGCUCCGCCGGCACCCCAUCGAAGAGGUGCUUCCCAAACAGGCGGGCAGCGGGAGCGAUGGGCGGAGCGAGGAAGAAGGCGGAGAUGGCGCGCGGGUGGAGCGCGUGGAAGGCGAGCGGGGGGAAAGGGAGCACUGGGAGGGGCAGUGCGCCGGCGAGGGAAGAGGGAAAAGGAGGGGCACUUGGGUCAUUUGCCACCAAAUAUGCUAAACUUUAGCAUACUAUCCAAACACCUUAAGAUGCUAAAGUUUAACACUCCAUUUGAGGGUGUUAAACUUUAACACCUUGUUAAACUUUAACACCCCCUUCUCAAACAGGGCCUAAAUGCGACGGUGUUUUGAACUUUGCUCACUUUCGAGCAGAGGGGUGUUUGGAUUCUUGCUAAAGCUUAGCUCGGGUCGAAUGUUUGGAGGUUAAUUAGGAUCAUUAAAUGUAGACUAAUGAUAAAAAUAAUUGUAUAAAUGAGGGCUAAUUCGCGAGAUGAUUAAAUGUAGACUAAUGAUAAAAAAUAAUUGUAUAAAUGAGGGCUAAUUCGCGAGAUGAAUCCAUUAAGCCUAAUUAAUCUAUGAUUAGCACAUGUUUACAGUAACAUCACAUGUGAUAAUCGUGAACUAAUUAUGUUUAAUGGAUUCAUCUUGCAAAUUAGCUCCCAUUUAUGUAAUUAUUUUUAUUAUUAGCUUAUGUUUAAUCUUCCUAAUUGGUAUCAAAUAUCCGAUGUGACCUGAGCUAAACUUUAACAAGGAACCAAACACUCCCUUAGCAGAUUUUAGCUACUCUUGGCUGGCUAAUGGCUAAAGUUCUUUUUGGGCUUGGGCUAAAAUUUAGCAAUGUUAGUGAGCUAAAAUUUAGUCCACUAACUUUUAGCAAAGGGAACCGCCUGAGUUGUUGUCUACUGGUGUGGUGCGGACAAUGGCUGCAUUCGUCAAUUUGUGACUAGUAGUGGUUCUUGUUGGUUUGCAGUACGAGUAGACUUGGCACCGACUACUUGUGCAGAUGCCGUGUGGGCCUGCAUUAGCAAUGCGGAGACCAGCCAGUCAAACCUAUUUCGGCGGCAGGCCGGCAGCUUCUUCUCUUCCACUCGCUGACCCGCGGCCGGUUCCUCUUCACCACGUCCAUUCUUUCCAUUCCUCUUGGCAUUGGCAACAAGCAACGUUCGAUUGCCAGCCGGCACAGGGUUCAGCCAUGGAUGCCGCUGCUUUCCUCUACUCCUCCCGUCUUCCAAUUCCAAUUUGGCUCGCCAUCUCCGUCCUCGUGGCGUUCCUCCUCCCUGUCGUGCUCACCCAGGACCCCAACCUCUGCGCGACCAAGGCGAACGGCAGGUACGCCUGCCCCCUCCUGCUCCACCUCCACCUCCAGCCGCGGCGUCGCCUUCGAGGCCAACCUGCUCCGCCUCCGGGACUCCCUCCGGGACAUGGCCGCCGCCAACGCCAGCUUCCUCAACGCCACCUUCGGCGCGGGAGGGGACGGCGGGGACACGGUGUACGGCCUCGCCACGUGCCUCGCGGACGUCGAGAUGCCGGCCUGCGCCGCCUGCCUGGCGGGCGCGGCCGCCGAGGUGGCGGGGACGCGAUGCGGGAGCCGCAGGGACAUGGUGCUCUGGUACCCGCAAUGCCUCGUGCGCUACGACAACACUAGCUUCUUCGGCGCCGCAGACACGUCAGCCGACCGCCGCCUCAGCGUGCCCAACCCGAACAACUUCUCCGACCCGGCGGUCCUCGGCGAGGCGCGCGAGAGGCUGGGCGGCCGGAUGCUCGCCGCGGCGGCGGGAUCGCCGGUCCGGCUCGCGUUCGGCGACGAGCGGGUCACCGCCAACACGACGCUGCACGGGCUGGCGCAGUGCACGGAGGACCUGACCGCCGAGGAGUGCACCCGCUGCCUGGCGACGCACAUGGUCUGGCUUGGCGUCUGCUGCGCGGACAUGGACGGCGUCCGGCUCAUCGGGCCCAGCUGCUACCUGCGCUACGAACUCUUUGCGUUCGAGCCCGCCACGACGCCGUCCAUGGCGCCGCUCGCCGAACCGCCGCCGCCAUCUGCACCAGGAGCUCCUUCUGGGACUGGGACUGGGAGCUCCUCAUCCUCGAAGAAAAAGACCAGGAGCUGUGAGUAUCCGAUUAUUGUCAAUUGGAUUCUGUUUCGAUCCUCUUGGCUCAUCGACCAUCGCAAAUGCGAAUUUGUGAUUUGUUGAUGCAGACGUACUAGCAGGAGCAUUGGGUGGAGUGCUGGUUCUUCUUCUCGGGGCUUGCCUAAUAACAACAUGGUGGUACAAGAAGAAGGGAUCGUCAGGCAGGAAGAGGAUGGAGUCGCUUCUGCAGCAGCACCAGCAGUAUCCGCGGAGGUACAGCUACGCGCAGCUGAAGCGGAUGACCGGAUCCUUUGCGCACAAGCUGGGCCAGGGCGGCAAUGGCGAGGUGUACAAGGGAAGCCUACCCGACGGGCGCGAGGUGGCGGUGAAGAUGCUCAAGGAGGCCAAGGUGGACGGCGAGGAGUUCAUUAACGAGGUGGCCAGCAUCAGCCGGACCUCGCAUGUGAACGUGGUCACGCUACUGGGCUUCUGCCUGGAAGGAUCGGGGCCCAGAUCCAAGAGGGGCCUUGUCUACGAGUUCAUGCCCAACGGCUCGCUGGAGAGGUACACCGCCGGCGGCGACCUCGGGUGGGAGCAGCUGCUGGGCAUCGCCGUGGGCAUCGCGCGGGGGCUCGAGUACCUCCACCGCGGGUGCAACGCCCACAUCGUGCACUUCGACAUCAAGCCCCACAACAUCCUCCUGGACGCGGAGCUCCGCCCCAAGAUCUCCGACUUCGGGCUGGCCAAGCUGCGGCCCCAGAGGGACAGCACCAUCCCCGUGUCCAUUACCGGGGCCAGGGGCACCGUCGGCUACAUCGCGCCGGAGGUGUUCUCCAGGCAGGUCGGGUUGGGGGCGGUUACCAGCAAGUCCGACGUCUACAGCUAUGGCAUGAUGGUGCUGGAGAUGGUCGGUGCAAGGAGGACCACCGUCAACAAUGGUGUGGGUUCGGUAACCACCGGGGCGAGCAGCGGCAGCAGCAGCUACUUCCCGGAGUGCCUGUACCAAGAUCUGGACGGGUUCUGCGCGAGCGCCUGUGGGCCUGACGAGAAGGUGGGCACUGCGGAGGUGGUGAGGAAGAUGGUGAUCGUCGGCCUCUGGUGCAUCCGGAUGUCUCCUUCCGAUCGCCCGUCCAUGAGCAGGGUCGUCGAGAUGUUGGAGAAGACCACGCCGGAGCUAGAACUGCCGCCAGAGGCACGGGCAGCAGAGGCAGCAGGCAGCACAGGAGCAGCAGCCUCUUCUUGACUCUCCUUCGUGGAGAACGUGUGGCCCGACAAACGCAUAAGGCGGCCCACUUGACUUGGUCUGGCCCAUGCGCGCCUCGUAGGCCAGCCACAAUUGAUGAUCUCCCUCUCUUGCGCGCAUCUUUUUUUUUUUGACUGAAACCGCGUCGCUGUCCUGUCAAAAUAUUGUGCCACGUGAUGCUGAUGUCACAUAUAAAUUAUGAGCCGUACGAUAUCAAAAUAUUGUGCCACGUCAAUCUGAUGUCACUACCUUGUUAGAGUUAUUGUUAUCCACAAGCCGUUCUACCUUUUUUUUUAAAAAAAAACGAGAUUGCACAACUGACUUGGUUGGGCUUUUCGGCCGAACAAGCCCAUAAGGCGGCCCAUAUGACGGAUUUGUAAUUUAGCAUGUGUUUUAUUUUGGGACGAAGUGGGUUGGGUUGGAGCCGACCCACUUUUGCGGGUUGGAGCUAACCCAUCUUAUGUUUGGAUGAAUGGUUGGAGCCGACCUAGUAUUUUGUUUGGUUGGAGAGGUUGAGAAGGUUGGAUGGAUGUCCUUUUAACACCGUUAGUGGUGGGUCCCACCUGUCAACCGUAGGACCUACCUGUCAGCCUCUGUUUUUUUCCCUCUCCCUCCCAUCUUCUUCCUCCUCUCCUCCCGCACGGCUCCUCCCCGGCCGGUCCUCAGCCGCCGACGCGCCCCCCCCCCCGAUCCUGCUCCCUGCGCCGCCGUCCCCCAACUGCGCCGCCACCCCUGCCUCCCCAGCUCCGCGCGCGCCGCCCCGUGCCUCCCCAGCUCCCUGCGCCGCCGCCCCUGCCUCCCCAGCGGCCCAGCUCCCUACGCCGCCGCCGCCUGCCCAAAUCCCGCCGCCGCCGGCGGCCUCAUCUCCCUCCCCGCACCGGCAUGAGGGGCCGCGGCCAUGGGGGCGUCGCAGAGGUGGAGGACCUGCGCCGCCAGCCAUGGAGUAGGCGGCUCCGCCACCACCUUCCUGCGCCCGCCACCGCGCCACUCGUCCCCGGUCCCGGCUCCUCCCAGCGCCGCUCGUCGCCCAGCGGCGACCGCGCCAGCGCGCAGGCGAGACGACGGAGCGAACGGCGUGGGACUGGGUCCGCGCGGUCCCUCCAAAUCGGCGGUAUGCACUCGACCCGGACAAAAGGGGAAUAUUCCCCGUCUGGGUCGAACCCAACCCACUCCGUUCUGAACCAAACACGGGACGACGAGGGUUCGACCCAUUCCAACCCACCUCGACCUAGUAACCAAACACACGGUUAGAGAACCUGAGGAAUCAUGUCAGAACAACACUCUAGUCGUUCGAAUCCCGAAAGUGGCUAGGGCAGAUGAAGUGAGGAACUAAGAGCAACUCCAAGAGUAUCCUAAAAAAUUCUUCCCCAAAACUAUGUAUUGGGGAUUCUCCUAAAAAAAAUUUCCCCCAAAAACAUAUCAGUCCACAGCAGAUCGCUAAUAAAUAGCCCCCAAUAUUUCAAACACAGGCCACGUCAUCAUAUUGGGCCCAUCGGAAGGGACGCGCGGGCGUGCGGGAAUCAGGAUUGGGGGAGGAACGCCAACGCUAAAAUAUACACGGUGGCAGGCUGUUUUUUAGCGUCGCUAAAAAAUUGAGGAAGGUUUAGGUGGAUUGUUGGAGUUCAUUUUUUCUCUCUUUUUUCCUAAAAAAAAGUAUUGAGGGUAAGAUUAGCAGUCUCUUGCUCUAACUGGACCAAUUCCACCCGUAAUGUCAUCUCCAAAGAUCGUGUCGAAGGUGGCAGCGUAUAGCUCAAAGGGGUGUUGCCUCAGAUCAUUACAGAUAACGUCAUCAUGGCCUAUGAGUGCCCGCAUUUCAUGAAAAAAGAAGAAAGCGCGAGAUAUCAGAUGAAAAAGAAGAAAGAGCGAGAUCUCGGAUGUCGUGCUCUGAAACUGGAUGUGGGAAGGCUUUUACGAUCGCGUGGAUUGGGAUACCUACGCGCUAUCAUGGUUCCGUUGGGCUUGAUCAUGCGCUUGGUAAUUUUAUUUAACGGUGAACGGCUUGAACAAUCUCACUCGUCGAGGGGAUCCGUGAAGAUGAUGAUCCUAUCUCUCCUUAUUUUGUUCCUUUGGCAGCUUAAGAAAUCAAACCAUCGGGUAUUAAAGUGGCUCCGUCGGCUUCGGUGGUAAGCCGCCUUCUCUUCUGCGGAUGAUAGCAUGCUAUUCUUCAGAGCAAAUAGAGAGAGUGAUCAAUAUAUGCAUUCCCAAUUACCCUUAAUCAUUUCACCACCGGAGUAAAGUGUGUUAAGUGCUCAGUUGGAAACUUGUACAAAAUAAUCAAGCACUGGUAGAGGUCGAGAGCAGACUAAAAAGUUAAACCCCGUCCUUGUGUUUCAUCUUCUUUGUGUCCAGUGGAUUUCUUUCUGCCACUCUAAUCUCCAUUAUAACUUGCAAUUCUAUCGCACCACCCGCUGUUGUUUCUUUUCGGCGGUCAAUUGCCUAUAAAUAACUUUAAAGUACAAACAAAAAAAAGAAGAUCAUAAGAAAAAAUGUGCAAUGGCCUACUAGAAAAGAAAACAGAAAAAGGGAGCACUUCAGGCCAAAUUAUUAUAAAAUUAAGCGUACCAAUCCAAAUCUCCUUUCCGCUGUUCGAAGCAUUCUCUCUUUUCACAGCUUUGGAGUAAUGCUGGUUCCAUUAACAUGAGCUGUGUCUGUGUGCUGUGAAGUACUCGAGUGGCACAUGAAACAGGAACAAAACGUGUGUCACAGUUUGUAAAAUGCCACGGGGAGAACGCGAGCAGCACCGAGGCCAGUCGUGGAUUUGGGCAUCAGGCCGGCACGCCGACGCGGCGCUCCCGUCAUAUCUCCCGGUUCCAGGCUCCCAGCGCCACACGACCCAGGCUCCAUGGAUUGUUUUCCAGAUCCUCGUCCUCCCUGCUCGAGCCUUGAGCCGUGCUGAUGGUGGGGAAAAAAAAAAAGGCGUGGACGAACGGCCACGGCCGCCGGUGGUGCGUUCCCGCAUGGCGAUCCGGCGAUCCGGGUCGCCGGCCACCGCGGCAGGCACGGCAACAGAACCAGCCAGCCGUUUUCUUCUGCCACUCCAUUUACAAGCGACGCGCCAUUGCUGCUGCUGCAUCUGCCAGCCUGUUGUGCAACAAAGGGCACGCACCAUUUCUGAUCCCCCCGGUGCUACUGCUACGGGUGCCACCUACUACCUGACCGUGCAUGACCGCAUGAGGCUGGCCGGGUGAUCUCACCAUGACUCGGAUCCAACGUUUUAGUGAUGCCCCGUGGAGGACGAUGAUCACCUCUGACUUCUUUACACACCUGCCGAUCCGUCCGGUCCUGCGGUGCAGCCCUUUUUCCGUGUGAAAAAAAAAACACUGUCUCCAUCGAAGGUUUUUGCAGUAAACCUAUGACGGCGGUUGCGGUGAUGCGCCGGCCUCACACUGACCGACCCACCGCGAGUCGCUCGAGCCACCGCAUACGCAUUAUCUUGCAAUUUUCUCCCUCACCAAACGCUCUCGGAUUUGGUGUCUUUGGAGCAGAGAGUGAAAAGCAACCAGAGCUGCGUGUGGUUGCUUGCUUGGUCUGCACUCGUGCAACCACUGCGCUGCAUCGCUCCUUGUAACCUCGAGUCCUCGAACGUUUGGAUCAAACGGAGGAGCAAAGCACAAGUUCAGAAACAGCAUGGCUGCUCUGCUUGCUUGAUCCUGCCUGUUGCGCCCUGCUUCUGACAAUGUGUGCUGACUUCGAAUUGUUCCCACAGCAAACCAGAAUCUCGCAGGUUGCAGCUGCAGCAGUGAGCGUGAAGCAUGUUUGGCUGGGACCUGAGACGCCUGACAAGUGAAAAGGUUUUUGGUUGUCAGCUCAGGUGGCUGGUGCGGCGUCAGAACCCAGAACUCAGAACCGGACGCGGGGGAGGCGCGAGCUGCGACGGUAUCACGGUUCACCCGCACACACGCAAGCACAAAACGUGUUACUUGAAAAAGUGCAGAGUGACAUGAUCGUGGUAGGCUCCAGCAAUCAUCAGCAUCACAACACGUUGAGACUGCCUCGAGGCACCGGGUCUAUGUCUAACACACUGCCGCCGUCGAUAUAGAAGAUUGCAGCGAUGUGCGGGCCCGAUUAUUUUGUGGAUCGCCUCAAUUCUCAUGUCCGUGCACGCCAUUGAAGCAGUCGUUCUCGGACGUUGCUCGUCAGAAACUUCAGCGAAAAAUCCAUCGAAAUGCAUGUCCCAUAACCAACUAACCAAGGCGUCUCCAGUUCUGCACGUUCAGAGCCUGGACCCUGACGGCGUCGCCGCUUCCGAUGCACACCCAUCAGCAUUCAGCCAUCACUAUACAGACCAGGUCGCGCCGACGGCCGAGCCGCCGCGUUCGCGGUCGGCCUUCCAGAUGACCAGCCUCGGACGCUGUCAUCAUCGUGUCACUGCUGAUGCGGUGGCGAUCUCAUCGGAUCGUCCAGCGUCCAGCGUCCAGCGUCCGGUGGGGUGGACCGCGUCCACGGAGGAGGAGCCUCUCCUGCCACGCCAUCCAGAAACCCGCCCGCGCCUCCCCCGCCGAAUCCAACCCCCAUCCAUCCACCCCACCAUCACCUCGGCUGUAGGCUGUAGCUUUCCACCGGUCAUCCAUCCCACCAAACGCCCGGGGAUUUUUUUUUAAAAUUUUCCGAAGAGAAAGCGACGCAGGGGUCAUGGCGGACGACAAGGGGAAAAAAUGGAGGAUUGCGCGCACGGAUUCCCCGGCUAUAAAAGGCGCUCCACCCCCCACGAACUCACCAGCUCUCCACCAAGAGCUAAUACCAGAAUAUACCGUAACACCACCGCACCACCACCUAACGCCGGCUGCUUGCUUUACACCGCGUCGUGCGUUCCCAGAUCCGCCGAGUUCUUCGAUCGCUCCAGCAAAGGUUGGUGCCCUGGAUUUUGCCUCUUCUCCGUUUGGAUUUUUGUGGUGGACCAAUCGCGUGACGCGGUCGUCGUGCGGGGUUGCGUUGCGUGCAGAUGAAGAUCACGGUGCGGGGGUCGGAGAUUGUGUACCCGGCGGCGGAGACGCCGCGUCGGCGGCUGUGGAACUCGGGCCCGGACCUGGUGGUGCCGCGGUUCCACACGCCCAGCGUCUACUUCUUCCGCCGGAAGGACGCGGAGGGGAACGACCUGGCGGCCGCGGACGGGAGCUUCUUCGACGGGGCACGGAUGCGGCGCGCGCUGGCGGAGGCGCUGGUGCCCUUCUACCCGAUGGCGGGGCGGCUGGCCCGCGACGAGGACGGCCGCGUGGAGAUCGACUGCAACGCGGGCGGGGUGCUGUUCCAGGAGGCGGACGCGCCCGACGCCACCGUCGACGACUUCGGCGACUUCGCGCCCACCAUGGAGCUCAAGCGCCUCAUCCCCACCGUCGAGUACACCGACGACAUCUCCGCCUUCCCGCUCCUCGUGCUCCAGGUAACAAACCGAUCGAUCGAUCACACCUCCUCGUCGGUUGCUAUUACAUUUCGCUAGGAUUUUCGUCUAGGCAGGGUCUAAACAGAGUUGCGUGAGAGUGAGAUUGUGAAAAGAUGAGGUUAUCUGAAUCCACGACGACGCGAGUGCCCACAGCCCACGACGUCUCAGUCAACGGAGGCACACCGCAGACCCAGACGCAGACGCGUCAUAGCUGUUGGGUGCCUCUCUCGUUUUGUCCGGGUCGGCGCAUGUGCGCGGUGUGCCGGUGCCGACGGCACGUGGGCGGGCGACGUGGCGCCGACGCUGGUCGAACUCUGCUUGACGUUGCUCGCACGCUGCUCUGCCGUAUUUUUUCUGGCGGGUUGGCGGCCGGCCGUCACCGUACUGUCGGCUGUACUUCCGUCCCGUGGGAAGACAGAUGUUGGAACGAGCCUUGUUCAGCCACGAAAAAAUACCGAUGCUAUUUUUGAGGAGGUGCUCUGGAAACAGAGUAUCUACCUCACGAAAAAUGCAACCAAAGCUUCUCUGACAUUUCAUGCAAGAAGCCAGUAGGAUCUCGUCAGAUAGCAACGCUCUGGUGAGAAAUCGUAGUCAACAAAUGGGUUGCUGAGUCACACGUGCCGUGCCACAUUUAAUCGCUACGCUAAUCUGUAGGUGAGAACGAGAAUUCCAUGUUUUGCCCACAGCAAACACUCUCGAGCUCGUGACUCUUCAAAUAUUACCAGAAAUUUGUUUUUUCAACCUGUUGUAGACUCUUCAGAUAUUACAAAAAGUUGAUUUUCCACCUUUUGUAGAAUAUAUCAGCGUGCCUAGUUCUGGGAAACAUUGCUGGAAGAGUGGAAACGUGCCGUUGCAACCUGUUACCUGUCCAUGGAAACCCAAAUUUAUUGUUUCAUGGUCGCGGACAUAAUAUCUAGAGAUCAGCUCGCUUUCUGUAGGUCUUUGCAGAGAAAUUGUGUACUGGACUUAGCUCGCACACAAUCGCGCAUUCCAUUAUUGGUGCUGUUAGGCCCAAAUAUGACGUCCUUUUGCCUUCGCAAAGAAACCAUUGUGACAGCAAUGUGCUACCACUCUUGACUCUUUGAGCAUGCAUACCGUGGUCUAUCUGCUAGCUUAAUCUCACGGCAAUCCCGGCACCACUAGAUUGCCAUUUCGUAGAUGAUAGAUCUUCGCUUUCUUUCAACCGGCGGAUGAAUGCCCGGCACCUAACUAUUUUGAUAUAACCGGCCCACAUGAUGGCAUCUUAUAACACAUGCAUGCAUACCGAACACUUCCUUUUUAUUUGUUUACUACGGCUGAUAGAUCAUAACCAUGCUCAUCAGGUGCUACUUUUGCACCUCGCCGUGGUGUGACCCGGCAACCACACUUAUGAGUAGCGUGGGCUGCUCCUUUCGUCGUCUGAACAGCGAAAUGUUGCUGGGUGGUUGCGUUGCGUGCUAGGUGUUCGUUGCUUAGGAUGCACACAUGGCACGCUCGUUCAAAGAAAAUGAUAGCCUAACUGGAGCGCCAAAGAGACGGGGUCUUUUAUAGAGACAUUUCUUGAGACAGCAACCAACGUUUGGUGGCUUCUUCCGUUCUGGUCUGCAAUUCUCUUGGCUUGGAUAUACGUAGCUGUCGUGUUUGGUCCAUACUUAGCUGUUCAUACAUGAUUACAUGGCUGAUAUCAAUCAUUCAGUUACCAUGAUACCAUGGUUAAGCAUGUGAAUGAAUUAUCCCAUUCAGUUACCUAUCCGCAUCUAUUGAGUGCAUUGACCCCAAACCCAUUCAGUGUGGCCUUACCCCUUGUGUUCUUAAAUUUGAUAUCGAGUUAUUGACAUUUGACAAGCCAAAGACUUGCUUAGUUCAAAAUUUUUGAAGCAAUUUCUGCAACUAACCGAAGUUGGCGCGCAUUUUUUGCUCCAGGUGACACACUUCAAAUGCGGUGGCGUCGCGAUCGGCGUGGGCAUGCAGCACCACGUUGCCGACGGCUUCUCCGGCCUGCACUUCAUCAACUCGUGGGCGGACCUCUGCCGCGGCGUCCCGAUCGCCGUCAUGCCCUACAUCAACCGCUCCCACCUCCGCGCGCGUGACCCGCCGGCCCCGGCCUACCCUCACAUCGAGUACCAGCCGGCUCCCGCCAUGCUCUCCGAGCCUCCGCAGGCGCCCCUCACGGCGAAGCCGGCGGCGCCGCCCACCGCCGUUGCCAUCUUCAGGCUGAGCCGCGCCGACCUCGGGCGCCUCCGCUCGCGGAUCCCCGCGCGCGAGGGCGCGCCGCGGUUCAGCACGUACGCGGUGCUGGCAGCGCACGUGUGGCGGUGCGCGUCCCUGGCGCGCGGCCUCCCCGCCGACCAGCCCACCAAGAUGUACUGCGCCACGGACGGGCGGCAGCGGCUGCAGCCGCCGCUCCCGGAGGGGUACUUCGGCAACGUGAUCUUCACGGCGACGCCGCUGGCCGACGCCGGCACGGUGACGGCCGGGGUGGCGGAGGGCGCGGCGGUGAUCCAGGAGGCGCUGGACCGGAUGGACGACGGGUACUGCCGGUCGGCGCUGGACUACCUGGAGCUGCAGCCGGACCUGUCGGCGCUUGUCCGCGGCGCGCACACGUUCCGGUGCCCCAACCUGGGGCUCACCAGUUGGGUGCGCCUGCCCAUCCACGACGCGGACUUCGGGUGGGGGCGGCCCGUGUUCAUGGGCCCCGGCGGCAUCGCGUACGAGGGGCUCGCCUUCGUCCUCCCCAGCGCCAACCGCGACGGCAGCCUGUCCGUGGCCAUCUCGCUGCAGGCCGAGCACAUGGAGAAGUUCCGGAAGCUCAUCUACGACUUCUGAUCUCCUUCACACACGAGCCAUCCAUCAGUAAGCGCAGGAGCAGCAGAAUCGAAACAGGAGGGUGAUCUUACAAGUUUACUAGGUUGCAGCAAGAUUCUUUGAUUGCACACAUACUAGUUCCUGCACACGUUUUCCGUUCCUGCCUGCCCCUUUUGGGCUGGAUGUACACGUUUUGUGCCGUAUAUGAGUCACGGGCCUGAACGGCCUGAGCAAUUGUAUGAUGAACAAUUUAAUCAGUUCCUAAUGAGACAGAUUAAUAAGGUUAAUUAUCUCUUGAUCCAUUUUUUAACAAAAAAAUGUGUGCAGGAGUGCAGGACAGUGUUACGACCCUGAGAGUUCGAGAUGGAUCAAUCAGUUUGAAAUAGUACAAUCUGUUCUUGUUUUACUUUCACACGUGCAAGUUGGACCUGAAAGUACAGUCUGAAGUCUGAACCUAUUCCUUAUCAAAUAGCAAUCUGCAUAGGACUGAACCUACUUUCCAAACUAGUUGACGAAUUGCUGCCCUCCAAACGGGCCGGCUCAAUAAUCUGGAUGGAGAAGACACUGCACAUGACACGGGCAGGGCACUGUGGGAAGAGCUCCAUCCUCCCGCGACCCGUCGGUCUUCUUCCAUGAACAGUUGCACUGUUGCAGCGAUGGUCCAAGAAGUCCCCCCUCUUGUUAGGACCUCGGGACCCCAUGCGCGGACAAGGUGGUGGCAAGAAGAAAGAAGAUGAGGAUUAGGUCGAGCUCCAUUGAUGUAUCGGCUGAGCAGGUGUGGUGCGGGUUUGGCGGUUUGGCCGUGUGGGAUUAAAGAUCUGCUCACCCUAGCGACCGAAAGCUUACACGAAGGAACGCUGUUUAGUUGGUGGAUGAUUGGUGGGUGUCUGGUAACCCUGGCUGGUUGCAGGUUGGUGGUGACGCCGAUGGGCUCCAUGAGGAAUUGCCCACGAGUCCAUGUCCACGGCACGGUGCCUUGUGCAGUUGUGCUCGUGGUCAGCUCAAGUGGGCCCUCCUAUACUCCUAUCCUUGCCUGCUCGGUUGGGGGUUGGUGGGUCAGCCGGUGUCUGGAUGAUGCAGCAGUGCGGCACCUCGCGGCCAUCGGGAUGAAGCCAUGGAGGCGUAGACCACUACUCAAACGUGAUCCACCGUCUGCCCACCAAACCACACCUACGGGACUGUAAAACACUGGGAGUGGGAGCGACCGGCGAGAAAGUGCACCCGUGCGCGUGCGUGCUUCAUCAACAAAUAAUAAAGCUAUUCGAUCGAACUUUUUUAUUGGUCCACAUGAUGGCUGGCACGAGUAUGUGAACGUUGCAAUUUGCAAAGGUGGUGCUAGGAUCGAACUUUAGGCGCGGCGGUGGACACUCGGAACAUGCACCUACCACGAUGUUCAUCCAGUUCGCCUUCGUAUCCACCCAUCAAUCCAUCAUGUUGAUUGCUGCCGGCCAUUGAUGACAGCGUGUCAAGCUUCGGCGUUUUUUUUGAAAAUAUUUUUUUUAUUUAUUCAUCUGUCGGAGGUCCAGUAAAAUCACGAACUGCUAAAAACUUUACAAAAUUCGGGAGGAGAUCAAGCCAAACACAUGACUGAUCGGGGUCCCAACUCAAACCAGAACGAGCUAAUUCAUGUGCACACAGAUUACAAGAUUGUGGGGUAAAAGAAACUUCAACAGACACAAAAUCUAGUUGAAUAAGUUGCCAUGCCUCCAUAAGCAACGUACCAGCCGGUGAUUGAUCAAAACCCUUGACUUCAAAGCAGUGACUAGGUUCGAAGAAUCACUUUCCAACUGAAUUCUCGUCAUACCUUGAGCUGAGAUGGCCGUUAAAGCUGCAAGGCAAGCUUGAGCCUCUGCAUAAAAAAGAAUCAUGAACUGAUUCUAAUCUCCCUGCUCCCGCCAUUACUGCAUUGCCGUUAGCAUCUCUAACAAUGAAGCCCCAUCCUCCCGAUUUCUGCUCCAUGAGGAAAGCUCUAUCAAUGUUAAUUUUGAAAACUUCCUCCGAAGGUGGAUUCCAUCUCUGUACUUUUUUACGAUGCUUCUCAACUAUUUUUUUUUAGCAUAAUACAAACCUCCCAUGUCAUGUUUCUUGCUUGGUGCACUACUUCUUUCACUGUUCUUCUCUGUUUACUAGCAUUAACUUUGCUUGGUGCACUACUUCUUCCAUUGUUCUUCUCUGUUUACUAGCAUUAACUUUGUUUCUUGCAUCCCACCAUGACCAUAUUAGGAUCAUGGUCUUAUAUUUGUUUUCCUCCUCCAUAGAUAGUAUACAGUUUGUUACCUCCUUGACAUCUUUUAGGUCUACUAAUUUCACCCUCACACCUUCCAGGUUCAACAUCUGCCAGCAUUUGCGCAUGAAUUUGCAUUUAAAAAAACAAUGGCUACCAUCUUUAUCCAUCCUCAAACACAUUUGACAGCGGGUGUCAACACCAUCCAUACCUCUUCUUUUAAUAUUCAUCCGCAAAGGCAGACUAUUAUGCGUUAGGCGCCAUAAAAAAAUGUUUGAUCUUAGAAGGGCAUUCCAAUUUCCAUAUUAUUCCCCACUCUAUCUGGUUUGCAGUUGCCGAAGGUGAUGAUGACUCACCUCUCUGUCUUGUGGCUUGCCGCUCCUGUUUGUCCUCCAAAGUGUGAUACAUCAAUUUUACUGAAAAUAGCCUUUUUGUGUCAUACCAUGCAAAAAAUCCUCCAUAUUAUUAUUUAUUGGGGUUGCAAGGAUAUGCUUCACAUCCUCUUCUCGAAACACAUCUUUGAUUAUAAUUUUAUCCCAGCCCCCUGUUAAUGGAUCAAUAAGUUCUUAAACCUUUGUCAAGAUGUUAUGCCCUCCAGGAGUGAUUGGCCUUCUCAUCACACCUGUCGGUACCCAAGGAUCUAACCAAAUAUUUAUUUGUGAUACAUCACCGACCCUCCAAAUUAAGCCCUCCUUUAGUGCUUGUACACCGCGAACAAUGCUUCUUCAGGAGUAUGAGAUGCUUGGAGCCUCUGUCACGUCAAGUAAUUUUCUAUUCUCAAAAUAUUUUGCUCGCAGGACUUGGGCACAUAAACAAUCUGGAUUAAUCAGUAAUCUUCAUCCUUGCCUUGCUAACAUUGCCAAAUUAAAAAGGUGGAGAUCUCUAUAUCCCAAACUCCAUUUCUUUUUUCAUUGACACAAAAAAUCCCGGGGCAACCAAUGCAUCUUAUUUUCUUUAUCUUGUAGUGUCCACCAGUAUCUACAAAUCAUCGUACUGAUUUCAUCACAUAAGGUUUUGGUGAGGUCAAAACAGGACAUUGCGUAUGUGGGGAUCGCCUGCGCUAUGGCCUUGAUUAUGAUCUCUUUGCCAGCUUUUGAAAGCAGCUUUUCCUUCCGGCCUUGAGUUCUUUGCCAGACCCUUUCUUUCAAAUAUGCAAAAGUUUUUGCUAUUGAUUUUCCCAUAUAAACUGGAAGACCCAAAUACUUAUCAUUUCUUGCCUCUGUUGCAAUGUCCAGGACUGCCAUUAACUGAAGCUUGUCAGAUGCCUUAGUAUUCUUGCUAAACAUCACCGAUGAUUUAUCUUUGUUGAUAGUUUGCCCCGAGCAUUCCUCAGACAAGGUGAGACUAUUUUGCAGAUGAUGUGCACUUCAAUCAUCAAUUUUCAAAAGUAGCAAUGAGUCAUCUACAAACAGAAGGUGGUUGAUGCUCGGUGCCUCUUGACAGACCCUUAUACCAGUUAAGAAACCAUUAGCUUCAACUGCAUUCAACAAGGCAGAAAAACCCUCAUCAUAGAUCAGGAAUAAAUAAGGAGAUAGAGGGUCACCUUGUCUCAAACCAUGUUUUGGUGAAAUUUCCUCAGUAAGCUCACCAUUUAUCUUGAUGCGGUAAGAGACUGUAGAAAUACAUCUCAUUAUAAUGUCCACCCAUCUUCUUGCAAAACCCAAUUUCAUCAUCAUUUUUUCCAAAAAAAGACCAUUCCACUCGGUCAUAUGCUUUACUCAUGUCUAAUUUCACUACUGCAUAACCAUCUACACCAGAUCUUUUUGCUUGUAGGAAGUGAGUAAAUUCAUAAGGUAAAAGUACAUUAUCUGUUAUGAGCCAGCCAGGCACAAAGGCACUCUAGUUUAGGAGGAUAACCUCGGACAAGAUCAGUUUUAGUUGAUUUGAAAUUAUCUUUGAUGUAAUUUUGUACACCACAUUGCACAGACUGAUAGGCCUUAGGUCUUUAACCUUUUACGGGUUUUCCACUUUUGGUAUUAGCACAACAACAGUAUCAUUCCAUCCACAUGGUAUUUCUCCCCCGUACAAAAAGUUUUCCACUUCCUUUGUAAUGUCAUCCCCAAUGAUGUCCCAAUAUUGUUUGUAAAACAAGGCUGGCAUGCCAUCAGCUCCAGGUGCCUUCACAUCACCAAUAUUGUCCAAAGCUUAUUUAAUUUCAUCAUUGCUGAACUCUUUCAGUAGCAUAUCAUUCAUCUCUGGCGAUACUUUGGGAUUAACUUGUUGUAGCAGCUCAUAAGUUAUGUCGCCUGCAUGGUAUUCAAAAAGAUUUUUAUAAUCAUCAGUGAUAUAAGUGAACAUCCCUAUCAUCUCUGCCUCGAUGCUCCCAUCCUCCUUCACUAAACUUUUAAUUUUGUUCCUCUUCUUUCUUUCCGAUGCAUAUUGUUGAAAAUACUUUGUAUUACGAUCUCCCUUUUCUAACCAAUGGGCAUAUGCACGUUGUCGCCAAUAGAGUUCUUUUUGCUCCUCCAAUUUCUCCAAUUUAUAUUUUAGAAUUUCCUCCCUAGCUACAUUUUGUGCAUUUAGAGAGCUCUUCCGACACUCCUCCAGAGCACGUCGAGCUUGUUUGAUUCUCUUCUCAAGAUCACCCAAGAUAUUCCUACUCCAAUCCCAAAGGUCUGUAGCAACCUCUCUAAGAGCAUCCUUGUGGCGGAACCGCCCAAAUUAACCUGACUAAAAUGCAUUGAAGUCGCCUAACACGCGAUUAUGCACUUUAAGCAAGUCAACCUGGUCGACCGUCAGAUUUCAUCCGAUUAACCACCUGAACAGGAUCGAGAAGCAUCGCUCAUGUGAAGGUGAGUAGCACAGAGAUUACAACAUUCCAUCACAUAACUUAGUCUCUUAAAUUAUUACAUCAGAAUUCUGAAAUUCAAAAUAAGAUGCAAGGUUCAAAAAGUCAAUUAAAACAAGCGGAAGCUAAAUGUCGAUACAUGACAUCACGACGGAGCCGAUCAUGACAUCAAAAAUUCCUUCCCUCGCCAUCCGAGGAGGGAUCCCACUCGACUGUCCAGCCCGGAGGGAGCUGGGUAGGCCAAGUGGUGCCAGCAACCAAACUAUUGACAUCACUUGAAAAGAUUAAGCCACAACAAGGCUGAGCAACUAGUACUCAGCAAGACUGACCCGUCGGGUGAUAGCUCUUUUCACCAAAACUUAAACAUGAAAGGCUUUCUGGCUUUGGGUUUGCUUUGCCAAAAGCGUCUACAGUUGGUCCUUACCUUCAAUAUUUUAGCUCAUAUUCUACGUUCUUCAUCCAGUCUAGAUUAGCAACUAUUCUAAGCAAGCAUAGUUUCCAAGCAAUUUAUGACAAGCAUCAACUUAAUCUCUUAAUCAUGUUUCAUCGUUACUCAGUGCAGAAUAGUGAUCAAGUAGUCCCAAACUGUGAGAGGCAGACGAAUCGAUUUGAAUUUAUUAACCAUGCAUGGCAAACCUAAUCUCACGACAUCUGCGCACCACGAAGGGUCGCUUCAUUUGUCAGCCGUCCCCAUCGAUCCCUUAGGCACGUGUCAGGGCCAACUGCCUUUGGCAUGCAAUGCUCCAUAAUCUCGGCCUCUAUCGUACUAUGACCGCACUUGCACCCACAUGAUGCACCAUGGGAACGACGUUCCAAGGAUAGCCGGAGGGCAUGCCACGCCCCAGUUCAAUCAGGUACUAGGCUUCCCCAUCCCAUACUACGUAUGAGAUUAGUACUUUCAAACACUUGAUCACGAACGCCGACACAUUUCGACCUUAGAUCAAUUUCAUUUAGACAAAUGGGGAAAACCACCAAGUAUCGAACAUAAGCCUGACCCCGUCCGUCGUCCUUAUAGUUUGCAACAUAAGUAAACAUUCAACUCCUAUAACUCGCGAGUGACAGGAAAUCACUCGACUUUUACCGAUGCCUAUUAAGCAUUGCAACUACUCGACUUUAACAACUAAUAUUCAAACAAGGUACUAAGUUCAUGCAUCUAAGGUUUCAUUACAACUCCUAGAAACGUAAAUGCGCAAUCAAAGCAUUCAAUAGUAUUGCAAGUGUUCAAGAUAGGAAUUUAUGCUCCGGGGCUUGCCUUUAGGAAAAAAGCUUGUGGGUCCUCGGGGUCUUGCUCCGGUUUGGGCUCGCCUUCGAAGGGGUGAAGCUCCGCAGCGGGGUCUUCUUCAGGUGCUGUGUGGAGCUCGUAAGUUCCGUUGGUGAGAUUUAGCUCUACACGGAAGUGCAAUGCAGGGGUUAAACAUUUUAGAUGGUUAUUUCAACAACACUUGCACGUUUUAGCUUAGACACUUGUAGCAAAGCUACAGGAAAGGUGGGGGAGUCCAACUUCAGUUGGUGGAGAACAGGAUAAAAGGGUCGGAUUGGGAGAAACUUAUGAUCUGACCCUUAGACUUAAGGAAUAACUGUACCGGGGUCCUCGGAUUUAACACAGAGAAGUCCCCGAAAUAUUACACAGAUACCCUCGGGUCAAAGAAAAAGAUACAACCGAGCCCUCGGGCGAGACGGAUAAGGGUCGGCGAAACUAACAAGGUCGAGCGAGACAGAAAAAGGGGUCGGAGGAAACGAAAAGAAAAAGGGUCGGGCGAAACAAAAAAAAAGGGGUCAGGUGAACCGAGAAGGGGGUCAGCAGCUUACCUUUAGGCCUACGGGUGAAGUCUUGGGGUCAGGAAGGAACAGGCUUUGGCGGAAGGGCUAAGGCGCUAAGGCUUGGGCGGCGGCGAGGUUCAACAGUACUCCGGCGGCGGCAGUGCUUCUUGUGGACAACAAGCAAGCUCUAGCACCGUGGGGAGGAACAGGCGGCUGGUGGGUUGGGGGAAGUGGCUUGAGUGGAGAGGGAAACUUCCUCAAGAGUGUGGCGGCGAAGUCGCCGGAGUGUGGGGUGGCGCAGAGGUGUGAGCUCCACAGCAGCUCAGCGGCGGCGCAGAGGAGAAAGCGGUGGCGCGUGUGCAGGCGGUGGCAAAGGGAUGGCGUUGCCGGUGAGGGGGACCCUUUUAUAGGGCCGGGGUGGAGCGGAGGGUCGAGGCGGGGCUCCGAUGGGGGAGGGAUAAGGCCGGGAGCGGCGAGUGUGCGGGCAAGGCGGCCAUUGGCCAGCGGCGCCAUUGGGCAGAGGAGGCGGAGCUCCAGGUGGUCUCCGACGGCGAUUGGCCUUGGGCGACGCGCGUCUGGGGCUUCCGGUCUGUCGGGCGGGCGAGGUGGAGGGCUACCGUGGGGGUUGGGCGAGCAGGCGGAGGCGCGGGAUGCCGUGGGCGUGGCAGCUUCUCCGACGGACGGGCGGAACAUGGUUGGUGGAGCAGAGCCGUGGUAGGCGGAAGACGACACGUGCGCGGCUGGUGGUUGGCUAGCCCGGCGUUCGCCCCGUCCUGUCGCAGGCGCGGGUUGGACGCCGUGGCCUUCGCACUGUCGCUAUCAUGCCGGUGAUAGGGCGCCGGCGAGCUGCCGGUGGCCGGUGGCCACGCGGCGCGCAGCGCGCGAGCGAACGUGCUCUGGCGCGCGGGCGUCGAGGCUCCCUUCGGGCAGCAAGCCCGACCAGCUUUGGGGAGAUCUUUCUCCGGAUUUUUCGACACAACUUCCAAAACUCUUUUAAACAAAGCUCAAAUCUAGACGUUCUUCAAACUUUGCUUAAGGUGUCGGUUUAGAUUGUGAAAGGAUUUGAAGAUAUUUCAUGCCAAAGUUUGCUAAAAAUCUGGAAUUCCAGACUUAGGAUUUUAAGGCAUCAGGGAUGAGUUGACUGUUUUACCUUAUUUUGACCGAGGUUUUGAACAGGUUCUGGCCCGAGUUGGACCUUGGUUAGUGUAACAAAGUUGGAACACACUCGAGGUACUACAACUUCAUUAAGGGCCUGCCUUGAGUUUAGAUAGGAAUUUGUGAGAUAAAAGCUUGCAAGAUGGAGGAAAACUCGAAUUCCAGGACUUACGAGGUUUUUAGAGUUCUUGAGUAUUCCGAUUUUGAUUGCGGUUUUUAACUUCCUUCCACUCCGAAUCAGUCAAAGGCCUUUAACGAAAGUUGUUUGAAUUAAAAAGUUUUACAACUCUUAUUUGGGCAUAAACUUAAGUUUGCAUAUAAAAUUCCAAGUUUUAUUUCAAACUCCAAAAAGAGCUUCUUAGGGUCAUAAUGGUCAUUUCACCUCUUUAAUUAGGGAUUAACCACUGGUUUAUAGUUAAAAGCACUUAAUUUAGGUAGAGUUGUUACAAUCCUGCACUUUACCAUUCCUUGCAUUCAUAGUGAGUUUCCAUGCGUUCUCAACAAUUGCUACAAAAUUAUCCUCCUUUGUCCAGCUAGCUUCGAAGCGAAAACAUGGAGCAGGUGGGUUUCUGUAACUUGCAUUCUCCUCUUUUGUGAUCACCAUAACAGGCCUAUAGUCAGAGUGUCUAGGUUCACCAUUGAUCACACGGAAGCUUGGAAACCUAGCACACCAUGCACUAUCUGCAACUGCACGAUCCAAUCUCUCUCGUAUGUAGCCAUCACUGUUAUGAUUAUUGUUCCUCCAAGUGUAUGGAUCCCCCACAAAUCCUAAAUCAGUCAGGGAACACUCCUCUAGGGCUUCUCUGCAACGGUCCAUGCAGCCUUGUGCCCGUGGUAUCCUUUUCAUAGCUUAGUAAAAUUUCAUUAAAAUCACCUAUACACAACCACGGUCUUCUCCUUGCCGCAUUCAAUGUACGCAUAGCUUUCCAUGAUAGAUCCUUCUUAUCUGACUUUCGUUCACUGUAGAAACUAGUGAACCUCCAAACAAAGCCAUCCUUUUAUGACACAUCUUCAUCAAUAUACAACCGAGACACUGCACGAAGAUGCAAAUUAAUCUCUUUUUUCCCAAAAAAAACUGCGCAAGACCACCACUUCUCCCCUUAUAGUCUUUAACCACCAUAUUUGUCAUGCCAAGCUUCCAAUGAAAACCUUCUAUUCUAUUCCUAUCCAUUUUGUUUCAAACAGAAAAAGAAUGUCAGGGUCUUCCUCCUUCUGAAGAUUCAGAAGGCCACGAACUGUGGGCUAUUUCCCAACCCCCGACAGUUCCAAGCAAUUAUCUUCAUUGGUUCUCGCAGGGCUGUUCUGACAGCCCCGCAUCAACAUGUGCACCAAUGGUCACAUCUACCUCCACCACCCUUGCUCUCUCAAGAGCUCGAUCCUUCUAUUUUUUUUACAGGCUUCUAAGCGCGUGUUACUUGACCCCUGCAAACUAACAACAAAGAUCUUUGUAAGUCAGGGCACAUACUUUAUUUACAUCAUGUGGCAAGUAACCAGAUCCCACCGCAUACACAACUGCAUACACAAACAUUCUAGAUGUAUCAUUGACAUUUUCAGCAAACAACACCACAAAGACCCUGUUAACACACAUUGUUUUUAAUUCUCUACAAUGUGCAGCUCCUUCCUUAAAAGCCUCUCCCAUGUUCUCAUUAUCGGACAAGGCAAAAAAAUCUUUAAACAAAGUACACACCAUAUGUAAUUGAGGACAAGAGGCAACAUAACCUAAGACUCUCCUUCCUUUUAUUUCAUACGACAUUACAAAAUAUGCAGCAGAUAGGUGGUCAUUGAGAGAAAGAAGAGUACACCAACUAGCAAGCAGGUAAUGAAACUCAGAUGCACACACAUAAACUUUUACAACAUUAUAAUGCCUUAUUGCGAGGAGGAGUGAUAAGCUGGGACCUUGUAUCUGGAUCAACCACACAUCUUUUUGAACUAACCGAGGUCAUUCCUUACCUCGGCAGUUCAUUCCCAAGAAACUCAUGGCUCCUGCCGGGCACUGUCAUUAGCGCUCGACAGAUUGCCGGUAGCCCCAGGAUCGGUCACUGCUAUACCACCUUUACCUUCCAUUGAAGCCUUGCCCAUGUUCUUUGACUCAACAUUUGCGUCAUGCCCAUCAACAGCCAAUACCUCAUUCUGUUCAGCAACCCUUAAUUCAGCCAGGCCUUCCUUUCCCAAACAUUCAGAGAAUGUGGGACCUGAAAGACCCCUCCUUUUGCUUUUGGUUCCAUAACAUCGCCUUCAUCUUGUACUUCUAUGCGAGAUCGCACUAUUCCUGCCCCCAGCGAAUUGGCACUAGUGUUGCUCUGCACUUUAGAUACAUUCCUUUCUCUUCUCUUCCAGCCCUUCACUUUAAUUUCACAAGUGGAUCCUGCGGUUGAGAGUGAGUUCAAAGAAUUGAUUGCUUUAGCAGUUUCCUUCCCUUGUUUGUUACCUAAAAUAUGUUUCCCAUCAUCUUUUUCACAGCACCAAUAGCAUCAGCACCACCACGCACCCCUACUGGCAUGACCCCAUUUUCUUCUUCAGCAACAACCCCCAUUUUAGCUCCAAUCCCAUCUUCCGGCCUAUCAUUAUUUUUAGGUUGUUGAUUAUCUGCAACUGUUAGCCGAGCCACCUGUUCCACUAGAUCGACAGCCUUCUUGUUUUCUGUGAUUGGAGCUUCAGCAAUGGCUACCAGAAGGCCUAGUGUUGUUGGUUUAGGAGCACGCCAGAGCAUGGAAGAAGGGCUCUGGUGAGGCUGUCCCAUACAAUCCGGAAGGUUCAUCACAGUGGACUGGACAGACACAAAAAUCCAAACUAAAAUUGUUUUUUCUUUCUCCAGCCGGCAAAUCACAUAUAUCCUCCACAUGCCCUAUGUACCCACAGAACAGGCAAAAAUUUGGUAGCCUUCUAUAUCAAACUUGGACAACAAACUCCUCACCUAUGAUGUCGUCAACCAACACGAUCUCCUUUUGCAAGGCCGUGAACAAAGGGAGUUGCACACUAGUUCCGAGAAACAUGUUAUUGAAGUAAAGGCGUUUUUGAUUGGCGGCUACACAAAAUCUUUCUUUUUUUUCUGUUGUGCUGGAUUUAGAGGGCGAGUGUUAACGGACACGAGUCUGUCGAAACCCACAGACCGACAUGACUUGCUUUUUACUUGUUGCUAAUGAUGGCUUGAUGCCUAACCCACCCAUGUGAGGGUAGGUUUGUCGGAAAUCAGAAAGUAAAGAGGUGCGCUAGAAUUACGUGAGAAAUUACUAACACUAAGGGUUCAAUUUGAUAGUUUAAGUUCUCCCCGUGUUCUAAAUGUGGGCUGCUUCAUGAUUUUUGUCGAGUUCCCGAGAUGCAUCGUCACUCCGCAGCUAAAACAAACUUUGCAUCGGAACCAUGCAUAUUGGUUGUAGGCAAAGGCAUUACACAAAUCUAUUAGAUAUACUAAAGUGGCUGGCUUUGGAGCUCUCUCGUGAAUCAUGGCGCCACGUGGGACCCACAUCCUGUUCAGGUAGGACCCAUGUGGGACCCACGCACUAUUCAGGUGAGACCCACGAUGGACCCACAUACUAUUCAGUGGGACCCGCGCACAUUGGUGGUGGAACCCAUGGUUCUAUUGAGUGGGUCCCAUGAUAAAAAAUUUUAUGUUUUCCCAUUAUUUGAAAGUAUAAAAUAUAUUUAAUUAUUUCCUAUAUAUAAAACCAAUAACUAAACUUUAUAUACUACAUUCACAUCUAGUAGCCCUACUGUUUUUCGCACUGUUUUUACUUCAUAAACUCACAAAUUAUGAUUGAAUUAUUCAUUCAUUGCUAAUUUUAUCUUUUGCCCCCUACAAAACCAAUAAUCAAUGUAAACCAAUCCAUCAGCUAUAUCUACUAACACCCAAAAGUUAGUGAAUUUCUAAGCAAAAAAGUUAUCCGUACCUCUAUACCAAAAUGCAUGGGAUUGGCUGUCUUAGAUUCCGAGCUAGUAGCUUUUGUAUUUGAUUCAACACAUCGUUAUGAUGUUGUUUUGAGCAUAGUAGGAGACAAUAUUUUUUCAUUAUUACUUUAGGUUAAUCUUUUUGGUACAGGCACGCAUAGCGUGCCAAUCUGGCUAGUAAUAUCUUAUUCUGCACCCCAUUAUAGGUUAAUGCACAUGAUGUUUUAUUCUUGAUAGUGUUGACGUUGUUAGUAGUAAGGGGUCAACUGUUACUUGACCCCUACAGUAACGUACAUGUGCAAUGUGCAAACCGACAGUCGGAGACGAUGAUGGGAAUGAGGUGAUAGGGAUUAUUUGGUUAGCAUGUGCUGUUCUAUUUUAAUUUGUACUGAAAUGAAUGAGAUUAUGAGAUAGAUAUGGAGAUUUGAUUACGCAGUUAGGGAUUGAAGGAGGUGGCACGAUGAAUUUGAUGUUUGUAGUUUUGCUAAUCGAUGAGAAUUAUAGUCAUUCACAAAAUGAUUUUGAUACUUCUUAAGUAAAAAGAGUGGCACGAGAUAAAUAUUAUCGGGUUAAACUCAUCGUAAAUGUUACGAAUCACUGUUGAUGGCAGUUAGCACGCUAAUUUAUGAACCGCAAGCGUACGGAUCAGUUGUAACUCUUCCCUUAGAGUAUCCCCCAAUGUUUAUCAAUCUGUGGAACAAGUGGAUUUACUCGCUUAACUGAGCACUAAUCUAUGUAACCGAAGGUUCUUUGUAUACAAUAAGAUUGGUCUAAGAAAAGAACUAGUGACUUAGAUUAAACUUGAUAGAGAGUAUGGAUGUAAACAAGAUAGAUAAAGCACUUGUCCUAGGGAUCUAGGAUCACUUGUAGAUGUAAUCGCCAUGCAUUAAAGAACUAGAUUUAAGUGUUAUCGUGAGUGGAUGUGAACCAUGCCCAAUACUUAUCCUCUCGCACGUUGUCACUAUACAAGAGUAUUCAAAUAUUGAAUGAUAAGAACACGGUUUGAUGAACAUUCUAGUAAACAAAUAAGCAGCCCAAAGUAGGGCUAGCCAACCAUUACAUGAAGGAGCAUCAUCAAGAUAUGAUAAAUAACAAACAGAUCUUAAAUAAGAUGUUUAGUGACUACAAAUCAAGAUCUCCAUACAACCUCGAGAACAAACAAAGACUUUACCCCAUGAUCUUACACAUGUUGAUAGAAUUCUUGGUAAAGAUCGCCCUAUAGAUCAACUGGACUGAGGGCGAAGACGAAUAGGGUAGAAAAGCCCCACGACGAUCGUCUUGGGAGGUUCCUUUCUCCUCUGGUGCUCCGCUUCGCGUGGUUUCUCGUAGAUCCAAUCUUCUCUCCAUUUUUCCUACUUGUGACGGUGGUGGAUGGUGUUUGCGUGGUGUUUUCUUCCCUCUAUCCAACUCUUCCUCCUUGAAGUCCAUGAGGGGGUAUUUAUAGUCUCCCAUAGGUGGUGGCUCUGAGUCAAUGUCGAUGAAAAAACUCUAGAGAUCAUCGUAGACUUCACGCUGAAGAAACGGAAGGUCGAUCGGACCCUGGAAUAGGCUAGGCUGAUCGGCCUGGGCCCUUCCUGGCUCUUCUGGUCCUCUCCUUCCUCGUGCUGGCUUCCCUUGACGACCCAUGUCCAAAUAUCCAUUAAUCUCUUUAUGCAAACUCCCUUAAUUAUGUCGUAUUUCUUGUCAUAAUGCAAUAUACUCCAAAAUACAACACAUAUGAAAUAAUUGAGUUAUUUCAGGUGCCAAAUGACGGGUUAGUAUAGGAUCAAGCAUGAAAACACGAGUUAAAUGGCACUAAAAGUAUGUCAAUAACGAGCGUCAACCAUCACGUGCUACGAGUCAAUCAACGUAGGCUUGUAAGGACGGGUCAAUCUAAAUCAUAAGUUUAGCUCAUAAUCAAACAAAGCAGGGGAUAUUUGGAUUGGUUAAAAUAGGAGAGCUAACCCAUGAAUUAAAAAUAGGCUAAUUAAGGGAUAAUCAGGACUAAUAGACUCUGACCACCAAUUAACCUUUAUUUGCACAAUUAGCUAAUCAAUUAGUCCAUAUUUAGUCCUUCUAUUUGGCAUAAAAAAUAGGGUUAAAGUUUAGCCCAUGUGAUCCAAACCCAUCCUAAAUAGGGCUCUGCAUCUAUUUUACAUGUGCGAUUGUUCAAUUUUGUUUGAAAUCCAACUUACUUCAAACUUUGUGCGAUUGUUGAAGUUUUGUUUGAAAUCCAACUUAUAUUUCUCAAUUUCAGGUGCAAUUCAAAACCAUCGCGAGUUCCUUUUGCGCCUCAGCGGCAGCGGCCCAGCCGCCACUUCACUUCCAGAAAACACAAAGCCAGCCGUCUCGAUCCAUCCAUCCGUCCGAAGGCGAGAGUUAUCUCGUGCCUUCCCCCGCCGUUCUCCACCCCCGCAUCCGAUAGCUAGCGCGAGCAAAACCCCCUCUCCCUCCUCCGGCUCCGCGCCCAUGGCUGCCCUCCUCCGCACGGCCGCCGCCCUCGCGCCCCCGCCCUCGUCGCCGCUGUCGGCGCGGGAGCCGCAUGGGCGGUGCCUGACUCUCGCCUGUUCCCGCCGCGCGCCGGCGCGGCCGCUCCGGGCGCGGCUGCUGCCGACUCCGCACGUCCUUGGUCGCGCCGGGGCCCGGUUCCGGCGCCUGAGCGCCACCGAGGCCGAUGAGGCGGCGCAGACGGCGACUCAGGUGAGGGGGGAUGUGUUCUGUCCUGUAGCUCCUGUAACCUCUGUCGUUCCCUUGUACCCGAUGAACGGACGGUUAGUUUAGUUGUGAAGAAUAGCGGUUAGAUUCCUGAUAUCCUUAGCGUCCUGUAUGAAAUUGAAAUAGAAAAUAUGAAUUUGGACAACAUAUUGUUCAAUGUUCAUUCGGUGGGCACCCAAAGUUUACAUUUUAUCAGUUUAGCAAUGAUAUGAUCUGCGACUGCUUUGCAUUGGCGUCUGAGGACUAAUUGUUUGCCUUUACAUUGCUUUACCAUUGACUGUUUAGGUGCCUAGCCUGUUCAUACAAUUUAUUGUUAAGCCAUACCUUUUUCUUUUUUCCCUACGAUUUGAUUUUGUGACCAGAGAUUCAUGAGUGCUGUGAUUGGGGAAUGGGCAGAGCAUUCCUUCCUGAAUUGUUUUAUGUUCAGUUGGAAACCUGUCCAUACAUGCUAUAUGGUAGAUUAUUUUUGUGGUAUGAAGAUUUCCAUUUUGCCUUCUUUCAUGGCCAUUACUGGAUCUUGGCUAGUCUUGAUCAGUGAUAGAAGGUCAAUUCCACCUUUAUUCAAGAAGACCCUGAUUUUGGCAAUGUAGCACAGUUGUGAUACUUAAAUUAGAUAGUCUUGUUUCCCACGUCAGUUAUUCUUUUGUUGGAGACAAUAAUAGUCGUGUUAUGUUAAUUUAUCAUUCAUAUUCUGUAUAAGCCCAUUUACUUCUAGAUUCAUACUCACUCUAAUCUAAAUGUGAAUUAUAAAGUUCAACCAAUACUGAGAUUGAAGUAAGUAAUGCAGCCACUUCGAUGGUGUAAUGGCAAUAACUGCCCCCACCUGCAUGCCCAUGCACUUGUACUUAUUCAUCAAGCUGAUAGUCUCCUGUUUGGUCCUUUGAGUAAAGCAAAACACACAAUUUAGUUGCUUGAGGACAUUGAUUUGUUGUAUUUCACUAAGAAUGCUACCCAAGUUAUUAUCUUGCAAUUUUGUUAGAGGUUUUUUGGAUUUUCAAAAUGUACAGUAAGGUACUGAUUUGCUUAACACGGUGUAAAAAAACUCGACUAGAAGGAUAGAUGCCCCUCUGAUUUCAUCAUAAAGAAGAGUAUCUCGGCUUCGAACCCGGGCCGGUUAUGGGGUUUCAUUGACCCCGGGAGUUCAUUGCUCUACUGUUGCGCCGCGAGAAGCUUUGGUUUGCUUCACACACUGUACAAAUAGCUAAAUUGCAGACUGUACUCUAGUGCAGGGAUGCAAACUUUUUAAUGCAAUUGCUCUUUUCUGCAGAUUAAUUAAUUGAAAGAAAACCUUAUCUUAUGUUAGGUUGGAAAUUUCUCUAAAGAUGACAUUAGCGCAAUUGAUUUUACCGUCAAUGCUUCUGUAAAAGCUAACAAAGUUGAUUUUAUUGCAAUUUUAUCCACAUCCAUGCACAUAUAGUUUGUUUAUAGGAUGUUUGAUCUUUUACUUAUGAUGAAUCUAUUUUUGAUGCUGCAGGAGGAUUCAGAAACUGAAGUUACUGGAGAUAGUGCUGCAGAUGAUGGUGCUGGGAGCACAGAUGAAACUCCAUCUAUCAUUGUGACAGCCCUGCAGUCAUACAAAGAAGCACUGAUCAAUGACGAUGAAGCAAAAGCUGCCGAGAUAGAGGCCUUUUUGCUUUCUAUAGAGGAUGAGAAAAACUCCUUUAUGAACAAAAUCACUGUUUUAGAUGCAGAACUGGCAACUCAACGAGAACGUAUCUUGAGGAUUAGUGCUGAUUUCGAUAAUUUCAGGAAAAGGACAGAAAAUGAGAAGCUCAACAUGAUGUCAAAUGUGCAAGGGGAGCUUAUAGAGAACUUUUUGCCUGUUCUUGACAACUUUGAAAGAGCAAAAUCACAGAUAAAGGUGGAAACAGAGGGAGAGGAGAAAAUAAAUAAUAGCUACCAGAGCAUUUAUAAGCAAUUUAUUGAGAUUCUGAACUCAUUGGGUGUUGAAGAUGUUGAAACUGUUGGCAAACCAUUUGAUCCUAUGGUAAGUUAGCCUCAGCACACAUCCACUAGAUAAAAUCCUAAUAUUGGCAUAUUCCACUUAAAGUUUUAUUUUUUACUGCAUAUCUACUCCUGUGUAAUCAGGUGGUAGAGUCUGUUGACUGUUUUGACUUCGGCUACAGAAAUGCUAAAUCUUUAUAGGCUUCUUUGUCCAUCCGAUGGUUUUGAUGGUUUUCAUAGUCGACCCUUGAAAAUGAUUUCUUUUGCACCUUGCGUUUCAGCUUCACGAGGCUAUCAUGAGAGAAGAAUCAACGGAGUAUGAAGAGGGGAUCAUCCUCCAGGAAUUCAGGAAGGGUUUCAAACUCGGGGAAAGACUACUUCGCCCGGCAAUGGUCAAGGUAUCUGCAGGACCAGGCCCAGAAAAGUCUGGGGAUGAUGAGGACCCCACAGAGGUCGAAGAUAGUGUGGCACCUCUUAAGGUUGAAGAUGCUGAAGAUGAUGACGGCGAUGCGGAGUAGCGGUGCUUAAUCUGUGGAUCAACAAGAACAGGUCCAGAAAUUUUGAUGCGUUUUUGGAGUGUGCCAAGCAGGUGAUAGGAUAGUACCGAUUUGUCCAAGCUAGAGUUAGGCCCUCAAAUAUGCUCUUCCUUCCUGUUAUUACUGACUUGGGGUGUUGGUACUGCCACAAAUUUGUGUUUCCACCGGCCGUGGUCGAUGUUUUGUUCUUGCACAGAGGAAUUUUCUUGAUUCAUUGAUGCAACAGCAUUAUUAUAAGGAGUAAAUUAGCUCAGAUUUGUGAUUGAUUUUGCAAUAUCUGAAUUCCAAGAUAUUUGCGGCAACGUUCCUUCACUGGCGCAAGGUUCAUUUGUGGCCGGCCCGAAUGGCACCCGUCUGUCCAUGGCAAAUAAAGCAGCACGAGAAGUUUGAGGGGACGUUUGGAUACGAGGUGCUAACUUUUAGCAGGGUCACAUCGGAUAUUCGAUGCUAAUUAGGAGGAUUAAACAUGAGCUAAUUACAAAACUAAUUGCACAGAUGGAGUCUAAUUCGCGAGACAAAUCUAUUAAGGCUAAUUAAUCCAUCGUUAGCAAAUAGUUACUGUAGCACCACAUUAUCAAAUCAUGGACUAAUUAGGCUUAAUAGAUUCGUCUCGCGAAUUAGACUCCAUCCGUGCAAUUAGUUUUGUAAUUAGACUAUGUUUAAUACUCCUAAUUAGUAUCAAACAUCUGAUGUGACAGGUGCUAAAGUUUAAUAAGGUAUUCAAACACCCCUGAACGAAAAUUGGACAUAGCAAAGAUAAGUUCCUAUGCUUCAUAAUUAAACUGAUUGAUCUCGUAUGAUAGCUCAGAUGGACAGAAACAGUGCACGUUGGAAGGGUUUUUGUGUUUUUUUUGGGGAGAGUGGAGGGCAUGAACGGAAAUCAAGAAGCUGUGCGCGCGCGUAAAACCAGCCCACGAAAAUAGCUGUGGGCCGUUCCCAUCACAUGGGCUUAAUGCCCAUACCGGCCCAGCCCGACUCGCCCGCGCCACUCGCCCACCACACGCUUUAUAAAAGCAAAACCGCAGCCGCUAGGGUUUCUCUCGUCCGCCGGCGUCGCUCCGCUCCGCAUCUCCAAGCAGGUACUCCCGUUCGCCUCCUCCUACUCUUGGCUUUGAUCUGCGAAAUCGUGGCUAGCGUGGGGAAUAGCUGAAGGGGAACGAGAGGACGCCGCCGCCGCUGCCUACCGGCCGGCGGCGCGGCGAUCUGCGGGUGAGCCGAAGUCGGCCCGGCUCGCGUCCUCACCCUACCUCCCCUCCCUAUCUCCCCUUUAGUUCUUAUAUGUAGACAAGUUUAGGUGUAUGUUUACAUGUAAGUUUUGUUAGCCAUUGUAGUUACAGACUGUAACCAGGGAUGAUUUGUUUAGACCUUUAUUUACUUGGACGCAGAUUAGGUCAGAAAUUUAAAAUGUUUUGUUUCGUCCAUUUUACAUCAUUAGCUGGUGGAUGUAGCAAUGUUGUUAUAUUUAUGAGCAAAGUUUUUGUUCUAAUUGGCUUUAUUGUUAUCCUAUUUUUCAUUGGGUAGUUCAAAUGCCUCAUCUGCUCAUAGUUUGGUAUUCCUUUCCAUUGCUUUUGUUUCUUAUAUUCCCCUUCUGUUCCCCCCGGUGCAGGUUGAGAAGCCUGCCCUGUUGAGAAGCUGCAAUGGCGCCUAAAGGUAAAGAAUUUCUUCAUGGCCUUUGUUGUUGUCUGAACUUAACAGCCCUGUGUUUGUAAUCUAUUAGCUCGUCACAAUCUCUUAAUAAAAAUGAUCAGCUGUCUUAUAUAAUUAUGCAAUAGCAAUUUAAAUUUGGUGAUCACACACAUAAGUUCAUUGUCAUCCUAUUUUGUUUUGAAGUUCUUAUCAUAAUUGAUAUUACUGAUACUGAUAAUUAUGCCCUUCACUGUUUAUUUUAUGCUUUGGGCAAUGUGCUUGGAAAUAUUCAAUCCUAAUUGAGUGCAGUUGUUGAAAUUAUUUCCUUGUUUGCUGAAUGCUUUGCUUAUUACUACGAGAUGCACCUGCUGUUUUAGACUGAGACAUCUCAUCUUGUAUUUUUUAAUUGUUUAGCUCCCCCAAAGAAGGCUGACACCAAGGCUCAAGCCUUGAAGGUUGCCAAGGCUGUUAAGUCUGGAACCACCAAGAGGAAGGCCAAGAAGAUCCGCACAUCUGUGACGUUCCACCGGCCAAGGACCCUUAAGAAGCCAAGGGACCCCAAGUACCCAAGAAUCAGUGCACCUGGGAGGAACAAGCUUGACCAGUACCAAAUCCUCAAGUACCCCCUCACGACUGAAUCUGCGAUGAAGAAGAUUGAAGACAACAACACCCUUGUCUUCAUUGUUGACCUUAAGGCGGACAAGAAGAAGAUUAAGGCAGCCGUCAAGAAGAUGUAUGACAUCCAGGCGAAGAAAGUCAACACUCUGAUCAGGUAAAUUGAUCUGUCUUCCAUGUUUUGUGAGAAUGCAAAUUGCCAUGUCUUGAGUGAUAUUCUGAGUAAUUUCUUGUUUCACAGGCCUGAUGGGAAGAAGAAGGCUUACGUGAAGCUUACACCAGACUACGAUGCUCUUGAUGUGGCCAACAAGAUCGGCAUCAUCUAAAUUUUGUGGUUUUGUGUGUCAGUGUGUUGCAGUUUCUGAGUUUUGGUGGUCUAGGUCUUACUGUU
Molecule: long non-coding RNA, 32360 nt
Filed under: Setaria viridis
Lineage: Eukaryota; Viridiplantae; Streptophyta; Magnoliopsida; Poales; Poaceae
Description: long non-coding RNA (SVIR_LNC000995)
Source: RNAcentral